Molecule: long non-coding RNA, 272 nt
Filed under: Pan troglodytes (chimpanzee)
Lineage: Eukaryota; Metazoa; Chordata; Mammalia; Primates; Hominidae
Description: long non-coding RNA NONPTRT001566
Source: RNAcentral
GAGAUCUCUCGCGUAAGGACUGAGAUGCCACAUGUCCAUUGUCUAGUCAAUAAGGACUGUGGGGAGAGUUCAUAGACUCAGAUCUAAAAUCAUCACCUGAAGUAAUGCUGAAUUAUCAGAACUGAAAGAAGCAAUAAAACCACAGCCUCAAGAUCAGCUCAAGAAAAAUCCAGAAAUAAGGUCAUUUUGUCAUGCCUCAUGUUUAAUAUGAAGGUAGUAAAGAAUUAAAGCCAUAUUGUUCAAUAGACAUGUCUUUGAGCACUGAUAAAUCU